AGCAGCCGCGGUAAUUCCAGCUCCAAUAGCGUAUAUUAAAGUUGUUGCAGUUAAAAAGCUCGUAGUUGAAUUUCGGGAUCAGUAUGUUGGUCGUGCUUCGGUACGUACUGUCAUUACUGGUUUCUACCUUCUGAAGAACCUUGAUGUCAUUAAUUUGGUGUCUUGGGGAAUCAGGACUGUUACUUUGAAAAAAUUAGAGUGUUUAAAGCAAGCAUACGCUUGAAUACAUUAGCAUGGAAUAAUGAAAUAGGACGUUUGAUUCUAUUUUGUUGGUUUCUAGGAUCGACGUAAUGAUUAAUAGGGAUAGUUGGGGGCAUUAGCAUUCAAUUGUCAGAGGUGAAAUUCUUGGAUUUAUUGAAGACUAACUACUGCGAAAGCAUUUGCCAAGGAUGUUUUCAUUAAUCAAGAACGAAAGUUAGGGGAUCGAAGACGAUCAGAUACCGUCGUAGUCUUAACCAUAAACUAUGCCGACUAGGGAUCGGAUGAUGUUAUUUUUAAUGACUCAUUCGGCGCCUUAAC
Molecule: ribosomal RNA, 519 nt
Filed under: uncultured Glomus
Lineage: Eukaryota; Fungi; Glomeromycota; Glomeromycetes; Glomerales; Glomeraceae
Description: SSU rRNA
Rfam family: Eukaryotic small subunit ribosomal RNA
Source: RNAcentral